GUGGGGAAUUUUGGACAAUGGGCGCAAGCCUGAUCCAGCAAUGCCGCGUGCAGGAAGAAGGCCUUCGGGUUGUAAAGCACUUUUGGCAGGAAAGAAAUAGUGCGUGCUAAUACCAUGCGCGAAUGACGGUACCUGCAGAAUAAGCACCGGCUAACUACGUGCCAGCAGCCGCGGUAAGACGUAGGGUGCAAGCGUUAAUCGGAAUUACUGGGCGUAAAGCGUGCGCAGGCGGUUUUGUAAGACAGGUGUGAAAUCCCCGGGCUCAACCUGGGAACUGCACUUGUGACUGCAAGGCUAGAGUGUGUCAGAGGGAGGUGGAAUUCCGCGUGUAGCAGUGAAAUGCGUAGAGAUGCGGAGGAACACCGAUGGCGAAGGCAGCCUCCUGGGAUAACACUGACGCUCAGGCACGAAAGCGUGGGGAGCAAACAGGAUUAGAAACCCGGGUAGUCC
Molecule: ribosomal RNA, 450 nt
Filed under: uncultured bacterium
Lineage: Bacteria
Description: partial 16S ribosomal RNA
Rfam family: Bacterial small subunit ribosomal RNA
Source: RNAcentral